CAGUAGCCGCGGUAAUACGUAGGUGGCAAGCGUUGUCCGGAAUUAUUGGGCGUAAAGGGCUCGCAGGCGGUUUCUUAAGUCUGAUGUGAAAGCCCCCGGCUCAACCGGGGAGGGUCAUUGGAAACUGGGAAACUUGAGUGCAGAAGAGGAGAGUGGAAUUCCACGUGUAGCGGUGAAACGCGUAGAGAUGUGGAGGAACACCAGUGGCGAAGGCGACUCCCUGGUCUGUAACUGACGCUGAGGAGCGAAAGCGUGGGGAGCGAACAGGAUUAGAUACCCGGGUAGUCCCUGUCUCUUAUAC
RNAcentral lists this ribosomal RNA (301 nucleotides) under uncultured bacterium. RNAcentral's name for it is "partial 16S ribosomal RNA". It matches the Rfam family "Bacterial small subunit ribosomal RNA", at positions 509 to 807 of the family's 1533-position model. The record is from RNAcentral.